RNAcentral lists this unclassified non-coding RNA (41 nucleotides) under Phytomonas serpens. The record is from RNAcentral. Lineage: Eukaryota; Euglenozoa; Kinetoplastea; Trypanosomatida; Trypanosomatidae.
AAUGAUUGCAACAAAUCAUUAUUAGCAAGAACAAAACCAAG